This is a small nuclear RNA of Impatiens glandulifera, 116 nucleotides long. RefSeq annotates it as U5 spliceosomal RNA. The transcript has a single exon. The record is from RefSeq and is a predicted model, not a curated record. NCBI's taxonomy places the organism in Eukaryota, Viridiplantae, Streptophyta, Magnoliopsida, Ericales, Balsaminaceae.
AAGCCAAGCACUGAACACAAAGCGAACUAUUCUUUCGCCUUUUUCGUUUAGAUACCGCGUGUUCUUUGCAAUAUGUGGCAUACGCCAAUUUUUUUGGGUCCUCUAAUCGGAGGCAC